GAGAGCACCCUUUGAUCCGGUGAUUUCCGAAUGGGGAAACCUGGCUGGUUGAAGACCAGUCGCAUUACGAUGCGCAAACCUGCCGAACUGAAACAUCUAAGUAAGCAGAGGAAGAGAAAAUAAUAAUGAUUUCCUAAGUAGUGGCGAGCGAACGGGAAAGAGCCCAAACCAUUUUUGUUACGGCAAAAGUGGGGUUGUAGGACUACGAUAUGG
Molecule: ribosomal RNA, 213 nt
Filed under: uncultured Chaetoceros
Lineage: Eukaryota; Bacillariophyta; Thalassiosirophyceae; Chaetocerotales; Chaetocerotaceae
Description: partial Bacterial large subunit ribosomal RNA
Rfam family: Bacterial large subunit ribosomal RNA
Source: RNAcentral